RNAcentral lists this long non-coding RNA (626 nucleotides) under Mytilus galloprovincialis (Mediterranean mussel). The record is from RNAcentral. Lineage: Eukaryota; Metazoa; Mollusca; Bivalvia; Mytilida; Mytilidae.
UUUGUGGAGAUCGGCGUUUUACUGGCCGUUUUAUUUUAUUGAUCAGGUGUUGGGUUUACAUUACCUACCUACUAACAAAGCUAACUUUUUACCUGGUAGAGGGAAUAAAUCGGCUUUUGGUAUAUUGAUUUAAUAUUUAGGGUGUUGGCUAUUAGAAUGGAGUUUAGGGUGACAUUAAAUUAACUAAUAUUAACUUGGUGAUUGUUUUCAUGUAUUGGGGACAUUUUUAUUGCAUGUACUAUAUUGUAUUUUUUCAUUUUAUUGGUAUAUUAUGUAUUGUAUUGAUGAACUAUGUCAAAACUUGGAAGGAACCACAUAUCAAUUUAAAAUAAUGUUAUUAAAUAUGUUUUUUCCAGAUGUCCAAUAACGAUAUUGCUUUGUCUAGUCCUGUAUGUGAUGCAUACUAUAGUAUAAAUGGGCGCACUCGAUUAUUGGUGAAGAUUCUCCAACAGAUUCCCAAUUAGUGAAAUAUGUUUUUAAGGAUGUUAAAAAGAAAUUAGGCUCACAAAUCUGGAAGGAAGAGCCGAUGAGUUAUUACAGGAUGCGUUUAAUAAGUUAUUUUGUGCAUAUAAUCGUUUUAUACAACGUACCAUGUGUGCGUGUAUAUUGGGAUAUCUAGGUUUUAU